UCGAACGGCAGCACGGUGCUUGCACCUGGUGGCGAGUGGCGAACGGGUGAGUAAUACAUCGGAACAUGUCCUGUAGUGGGGGAUAGCCCGGCGAAAGCCGGAUUAAUACCGCAUACGAUCUACGGAUGAAAGCGGGGGACCUUCGGGCCUCGCGCUAUAGGGUUGGCCGAUGGCUGAUUAGCUAGUUGGUGGGGUAAAGGCCUACCAAGGCGACGAUCAGUAGCUGGUCUGAGAGGACGACCAGCCACACUGGGACUGAGACACGGCCCAGACUCCUACGGGAGGCAGCAGUGGGGAAUUUUGGACAAUGGGCGAAAGCCUGAUCCAGCAAUGCCGCGUGUGUGAAGAAGGCCUUCGGGUUGUAAAGCACUUUUGUCCGGAAAGAAAUCCUUGGUUCUAAUAUAGCCGGGGGAUGACGGUACCGGAAGAAUAAGCACCGGCUAACUACGUGCCGGCAGCCGCGGUAAUACGUAGGGUGCGAGCGUUAAUCGGAAUUACUGGGCGUAAAGCGUGCGCAGGCGGUUUGCUAAGACCGAUGUGAAAUCCCCGGGCUCAACCUGGGAACUGCAUUGGUGACUGGCAGGCUAGAGUAUGGCAGAGGGGGGUAGAAUUCCACGUGUAGCAGUGAAAUGCGUAGAGAUGUGGAGGAAUACCGAUGGCGAAGGCAGCCCCCUGGGCCAAUACUGACGCUCAUGCACGAAAGCGUGGGGAGCAAACAGGA
Molecule: ribosomal RNA, 721 nt
Filed under: uncultured beta proteobacterium
Lineage: Bacteria; Pseudomonadati; Pseudomonadota; Betaproteobacteria
Description: bacterial SSU rRNA
Rfam family: Bacterial small subunit ribosomal RNA
Source: RNAcentral